GCCAGCAGCCAUAUCACCCUGCAACCCACAGCUGGCAGCCCACUGAAGCUCAGCAGGUGUGAGCCUGGUCAGUACCUGGAUGGGAGACCUCCUGGGAAAAACUAAGGUUGCUGCUAGAA
RNAcentral lists this ribosomal RNA (119 nucleotides) under Lepisosteus oculatus (spotted gar). The record is from RNAcentral. Lineage: Eukaryota; Metazoa; Chordata; Actinopteri; Semionotiformes; Lepisosteidae.